This 466-nucleotide ribosomal RNA is filed under the name uncultured bacterium. RNAcentral describes it as "partial 16S ribosomal RNA". It matches the Rfam family "Bacterial small subunit ribosomal RNA", at positions 36 to 507 of the family's 1533-position model. The record is from RNAcentral.
GCUUCCCUCUGGCGGCGUGCUUAACACAUGCAAGUCGAACGGUGAAGCCAAGCUUUCGUGGUGGAUCAGUGUCGAACGGGUGAGUAACACGCGAGCAACCUGCCCUGGUCUCUGGGAUAAGCGCUGGAAACGGUGUCUAAUACUGGAUAUGAGCCCCUUUGGCACGGUGGGGGUUGGAAAGAUUUUUUGGUCUGGGAUGGGCUCGCGGCCUAUCAGCUUGUUGGUGAGGUAAUGGCUCACCAAGGCGUCGACGGGUAGCCGGCCUGAGAGGGUGACCGGCCACACUGGGACUGAGACACGGCCCAGACUCCUACGGGAGGCAGCAGUGGGGAAUAUUGCACAAUGGGCGGAAGCCUGAUGCAGCAACGCCGCGUGAGGGAUGACGGCCUUCGGGUUGUAAACCUCUUUUUGCAGGGAAGAAGCGAAAGUGACGGUACCUGCUGAAAAAGCGCCGGCUAACUACGUG